This 748-nucleotide unclassified non-coding RNA is filed under the name Melitaea cinxia (Glanville fritillary). RNAcentral describes it as "misc RNA ENSMCXG00005000913.1". The record is from RNAcentral. Lineage: Eukaryota; Metazoa; Arthropoda; Insecta; Lepidoptera; Nymphalidae.
UGUACCACUCUCAACUGUCUUUUUUCCUACUUUUUACUGCAACAUUUAAUGUUAAUUCAACAUCCUGUAACCUAACAAAAACUCCUCAACCGCCUCAGCCUCACCUGAACGGCAGCAGUCGCGGGUUUCAUUCCCAUUCGGUAUGGAUAUGUGCACAGUAAAAAUAGCGUAAAAACGAAACACAUUCUGAGACAUUCUUAACUGAGAAAAUUUCUGGGUGAGAGUGAGUGGAGGUGAGAUGAACACUUACCUUGUAGCAGUCCCAUCUGUAAGCGCUGGGUUGCAGCGAGGAGACCAGCAACAUCAGCGUUUUGAAAAUGAAUUGCAGUGGGUGUCAUCAAGAAAGUCCACAAUGGCAGCGUUACUAACGACCACACUCCAAGGGGUGAUAGAAAGGUCCCUGGAGAGGCAAAACUAGUACUCAGUAUAGUGUACGUGGCAGUACAGGUCUGUGUAGGUACUCCUAAUCAAUAUUAAUAUAAUCCACUACACAUUUUAUACAUCGUGUUGUUUUAUAUUCGAAUAUUAAAAUACUUCAAAGAAUACAACAUAACUGCCUUCAUACGUCAAGCUUUCAAUGUAACGUCACGAUUUUUGUCACAAGUUACGUGGUAACGUUGUAUAUUCACAUUAGAAAAUUGUUUAAGAUGAAAAAAAAAACGGUUCACUUCAUCUAUUAAAGAAUCAUUUGAAUUUAAUGGAAUGGAUGUGUCAAACUUUCAAUUAUUGUUUUCAAAGUGGAACGGAA